UUUAGAUGUCUCCAUUGUCUCCCUCUCCUCCGACUCUCAGUCCGAACAAGGGUUUCAACCCAAAAUGUCACUCAACCCUUCUCUCCAGAGUGGCUGCCUGUCCCGCUGAGCUGCGGCAGCACUUUGUGUCUAUUUUCUCUAUGAUGCUUGCGGCCAGCGAAUAGGCUGAGUUCAGCUUCAUGAAACCAGCGAUCUCUCCAGCCCAACACAAGUAACUUGUGGGCUUCUGACAACAACUAAUCAGAAUCUCCUGAUCAUCGACACACAGAUACGUCUUUAUUUCUGUAAAACAAAUAACUAUUUACACAUUUGCACAACCAAGCAGACCGUUUUAAUUGAAUCUUGCCAAACAUCGGCCAAUGGAAAACAUUAUGAGGGACUUUGAUUUAGGAAGAAUAAAGUAUGAACUUUAAA
Molecule: long non-coding RNA, 414 nt
Organism: Amblyraja radiata (thorny skate)
Lineage: Eukaryota; Metazoa; Chordata; Chondrichthyes; Rajiformes; Rajidae
Exons: 3
Source: RefSeq, a predicted model, not a curated record